AGAGACAGCAGUCGCCGCGGGAAUACGAAGGGGGCUAGCGUUGUUCGGAAUUACUGGGCGUAACGCGCACGUAGGCGGAUAUUUAAGUCAGGGGUGAAAUCCCAGAGCUCGACUCUGGAACUGCCUUUGAUGCUGGGUAUCUUGAGUAUGGAAGAGGUGAGUGGAAUUCCGAGUGUAGAGGUGAAAUUCGUAGAUAUUCGGAGGAACACCAGUGGCGAAGGCGGCUCACUGGUCCAUUACUGACGCUGAGGUGCGAAAGCGUGGGGAGCAAACAGGAUUAGAUACCCCCGUAGUCCCUGUCUCUUAUAC
Molecule: ribosomal RNA, 309 nt
Filed under: uncultured bacterium
Lineage: Bacteria
Description: partial 16S ribosomal RNA
Rfam family: Bacterial small subunit ribosomal RNA
Source: RNAcentral